GAUGAACGCUGGCGGCGUGCCUAAUACAUGCAAGUCGAGCGAACAGACGAGGAGCUUGCUCCUCUGACGUUAGCGGCGGACGGGUGAGUAACACGUGGAUAACCUACCUAUAAGACUGGGAUAACUUCGUGAAACCGGAGCUAAUACCGGAUAAUAUAUUGAACCGCAUGGUUCAAUAGUGAAAGACGGUUUUGCUGUCUCUUAUAGAUGGAUCCGCGCCGCAUUAGCUAGUUGGUAAGGUAACGGCUUACCAAGGCGACGAUGCGUAGCCGACCUGAGAGGGUGAUCGGCCACACUGGAACUGAGACACGGUCCAGACUCCUACGGGAGGCAGCAGUAGGGAAUCUUCCGCAAUGGGCGAAAGCCUGACGGAGCAACGCCGCGUGAGUGAUGAAGGUCUUCGGAUCGUAAAACUCUGUUAUUAGGGAAGAACAAAUGUGUAAGUAACUAUGCACGUCUUGACGGUACCUAAUCAGAAAGCCACGGCUAACUACGUG
This 497-nucleotide ribosomal RNA is filed under the name uncultured bacterium. Its description in RNAcentral is "partial 16S ribosomal RNA". It matches the Rfam family "Bacterial small subunit ribosomal RNA", at positions 28 to 507 of the family's 1533-position model. The record is from RNAcentral.